AUGUUCAUCAAUCGUUGAUUGUUUUCAACUAACCACAAAGUCACCGGAACACUAUACCUGCUAUUCGGCGCAAGAGCGGAGAUAAUAGGCACCGCCUUAAGCUUCCUAAUUCAAGCAGGACUAGACCAACCAGAAACUCUACUAGGAGAUGAUCAGAUGUACAAUGUUAUUGUUACUGCCCACGCGUUCGUUUUCAUCUUCUUUAUGGUGAUACCAAUCAUAAUUGGGGGUUUCGGGAACUGGCUAGUCCCUCUGAUAACUGGUGCACCCGAUAUGGCAUUCCCCCGGAUAAAUAAUAUGAGCUUCUGACUUCUCCCUCUAUCUUUUCUGCUCCCUACUUGCAUCCUCAAUAGUAGAAGCCGGCGCUGGAACCGGCUGGACGGUUUAUCCCCCUUUAAGAGGAAACCUAGCACAUGCAGGAGCCUCUGUGGACCUGACCAUCUUCUCGCUCCACUUGGCAGGUGCCUCUUCUAUUUUAGGAGCCAUUAACUUUAUUACCACUAUUAUUAACAUAAAACCCCCAGCUAUGUCCCAGUAUCAAACACCCCUUUUCGUCUGAUCAGUCCUCAUUAUGGCAGUCCUUCUACUCCUUUCUCUUCCAGUCCUAGCCGCCGGGAUUACUAUACUAUUAACUGACCGUAACCUCAACACUAAUUUUUUUGAGCCUGCUGGCGGGGGUGACCCUAUCUUGUACCAGCAUUUAUUCUGGUAU
This 712-nucleotide long non-coding RNA is filed under the name Homo sapiens (human). RNAcentral's name for it is "non-protein coding lnc-ICA1L-6:1". The record is from RNAcentral. Lineage: Eukaryota; Metazoa; Chordata; Mammalia; Primates; Hominidae.